UACGUAGGGGGCUAGCGUUGUCCGGAAUCAUUGGGCGUAAAGAGCGUGUAGGCGGUCCGGUAAGUCCGUUGUGAAAGUCAAGGGCUCAACCCUUGAAUGCCGGCGGAUACUGUCGGGCUAGAGUCCGGAAGAGGCGAGUGGAAUUCCCGGUGUAGCGGUGAAAUGCGCAGAUAUCGGGAGGAGCACCUAUGGCGAAGGCAGCUCGCUGGGACGGUACUGACGCUGAGACGCGAAAGCGUGGGGAGCAAACAGG
This 253-nucleotide ribosomal RNA is filed under the name uncultured bacterium. RNAcentral describes it as "partial 16S ribosomal RNA". It matches the Rfam family "Bacterial small subunit ribosomal RNA", at positions 524 to 776 of the family's 1533-position model. The record is from RNAcentral.